This 506-nucleotide ribosomal RNA is filed under the name uncultured bacterium. RNAcentral's name for it is "partial 16S ribosomal RNA". It matches the Rfam family "Bacterial small subunit ribosomal RNA", at positions 28 to 523 of the family's 1533-position model. The record is from RNAcentral.
GAUGAACGCUAGCGGCAGGCCUAACACAUGCAAGUCGAGGGGCAGCACAUAAAGUGGUUUACUACUUUUGGUGGCGACCGGCGGACGGGUGCGUAACGCGUAUGCAACCUGCCUCCAACAGGGGGAUAACGGAGAGAAAUUUCCACUAAUACCCCAUAAUAUCAGAAUCGGCAUCGGUUUUGGUUGAAAACUCCGGUGGUUGGAGUUGGGCAUGCGUUGUAUUAGAUAGUUGGUGAGGUAACGGCUCACCAAGUCAACGAUACAUAGGGGGACUGAGAGGUUAGCCCCCCACACUGGUACUGAGACACGGACCAGACUCCUACGGGAGGCAGCAGUGAGGAAUAUUGGUCAAUGGGGGCAACCCUGAACCAGCCAUGCCGCGUGCAGGAAGACGGCUCUAUGAGUUGUAAACUGCUUUUACAAGGGGAUAAAUCGGUGUACGUGUACACCGUUGAAGGUACCUUGGGAAUAAGGAUCGGCUAACUCCGUGCCAGCAGCCGCAGUAA